AACGUAGGUGGCAAGCGUUAUCCGGAAUUACUGGGCGUAAAGGGCUCGCAGGCGGCCGACUAAGUCAGACGUGAAAUCCCUUGGCUUAACCAAGGAAUGGCGUCUGAUACUGGACGGCUUGAAUUCGGGAGAGGGAUGUGGAAUUCCAGGUGUAGCGGUGAAAUGCGUAGAUAUCUGGAGGAACACCGGUGGCGAAGGCGGCAUCCUGGACCGAUAUUGACGCUGAGGAGCGAAAGCCAGGGGAGCAAACGGG
Molecule: ribosomal RNA, 253 nt
Filed under: uncultured bacterium
Lineage: Bacteria
Description: partial 16S ribosomal RNA
Rfam family: Bacterial small subunit ribosomal RNA
Source: RNAcentral